AUUGAACGCUGGCGGCAGGCUUAACACAUGCAAGUCGAGCGGGGGAAGGUAACUUGCUACCGGACCUAGCGGCGGACGGGUGAGUAAUGCUUAGGAAUCUGCCUAUUAGUGGGGGACAACAUCUCGAAAGGGAUGCUAAUACCGCAUACGUCCUACGGGAGAAAGCAGGGGAUCUUCGGACCUUGCGCUAAUAGAUGUGCCUAAGUCGGAUUAGCUAGUUGGUGGGGUAAAGGCCUACUAAGGCGACGAUCUGUAGCGGGUCUGAGAGGAUGAGCCGCCACACUGGGACUGAGACACGGCCCAGACUCCUACGGGAGGCAGCAGUGGGGAAUAUUGGACAAUGGGGUGGACCCUGAUCCAGCCAUGCCGCGUGUGUGAAGAAGGCCUUAUGGUUGUAAAGCACUUUAAGCGAGGAGGAGGCUACUCUAGUUAAUACCUAGGGAUAGUGGACGUUACUCGCAGAAUAAGCACCGGCUAACUCUGUGCCAGCAGCCGCAGUAA
Molecule: ribosomal RNA, 501 nt
Filed under: uncultured bacterium
Lineage: Bacteria
Description: partial 16S ribosomal RNA
Rfam family: Bacterial small subunit ribosomal RNA
Source: RNAcentral